ACACGAAGUGAGUGGCGAACGGGUGAGUAACACGUGGGUAACCUGCCCAGAAGUAGGGGAUAACACCUGGAAACAGAUGCUAAUACCGUAUAACAGAGAAAACCGCAUGGUUUUCUUUUAAAAGAUGGCUCUGCUAUCACUUCUGGAUGGACCCGCGGCGUAUUAGCUAGUUGGUGAGGUAAAGGCUCACCAAGGCAGUGAUACGUAGCCGACCUGAGAGGGUAAUCGGCCACAUUGGGACUGAGACACGGCCCAGACUCCUACGGGAGGCAGCAGUAGGGAAUCUUCCACAAUGGACGCAAGUCUGAUGGAGCAACGCCGCGUGAGUGAAGAAGGGUUUCGGCUCGUAAAGCUCUGUUGUUAAAGAAGAACGUGGGUAAGAGUAACUGUUUACCCAGUGACGGUA
RNAcentral lists this ribosomal RNA (406 nucleotides) under Pediococcus pentosaceus. RNAcentral describes it as "bacterial SSU rRNA". It matches the Rfam family "Bacterial small subunit ribosomal RNA", at positions 84 to 477 of the family's 1533-position model. The record is from RNAcentral. Lineage: Bacteria; Bacillati; Bacillota; Bacilli; Lactobacillales; Lactobacillaceae.